This 272-nucleotide ribosomal RNA is filed under the name Pseudomonas sp. ATCC 13867. RNAcentral describes it as "partial 23S ribosomal RNA". It matches the Rfam family "Bacterial large subunit ribosomal RNA", at positions 753 to 1022 of the family's 2925-position model. Lineage: Bacteria; Pseudomonadati; Pseudomonadota; Gammaproteobacteria; Pseudomonadales; Pseudomonadaceae. The record is from RNAcentral.
UAGGUAACACUGACUGGAGGACCGAACCCACUUCCGUUGAAAAGGCAGGGGAUGACUUGUGGAUCGGAGUGAAAGGCUAAUCAAGCUCGGAGAUAGCUGGUUCUCCUCGAAAGCUAUUUAGGUAGCGACCUCACGUAUCACUCCAGGGGGUAGAGCACUGUUUCGGCUAGGGGGUCAUCCCGACUUACCAAACCGAUGCAAACUCCGAAUACCUGGAAGUGUCAGCGUGGGAGACACACGGCGGGUGCUAACGUCCGUCGUGAAAAGGGAAA